Molecule: long non-coding RNA, 418 nt
Filed under: Sinocyclocheilus anshuiensis
Lineage: Eukaryota; Metazoa; Chordata; Actinopteri; Cypriniformes; Cyprinidae
Description: lncRNA (ENSSANG00000033908.1)
Source: RNAcentral
UCCUUUCAAAACAAUAUCACUUUACUCUAAGGAAAUGUCUGUUUCUAUUCCUGUAGGUUUUAAUCAUCAGGACGACACGUCGUAAACAACAUCUCUAAAAAUGAACACAGGAGAGAACACUGUUCAGAUGAGUUGCUGUGAAACUUGGGUACAUGCUUAAAGAGAUAUGACAGCUUGAUAUGGAGCGCGGUGGGGAUAAACGAUCUGUGUCAGGCCUGCUGGGGUCCAUAUGGUCCAUAUGGUCCAUCACCAAGGUUCUCACUCUACAUCACACCCGUGAGCUAUAGAUGAACACAGGCUGUCUGUUUACCAGUCAUCCUUCAGAACAACUUAUGAGGGCCAGCGGAACAGGCUUGAGAGAGGAACGGCCGGUGGGCUUGAGAAUGCCGUGGCUGGCAGGCUUGACUUUGGAACGGCC